RNAcentral lists this ribosomal RNA (253 nucleotides) under uncultured bacterium. Its description in RNAcentral is "partial 16S ribosomal RNA". It matches the Rfam family "Bacterial small subunit ribosomal RNA", at positions 524 to 776 of the family's 1533-position model. The record is from RNAcentral.
UACAGAGGGUGCAAGCGUUGUUCGGAAUUAUUGGGCGUAAAGGGCGCGUAGGCGGUGCGGUAAGUCCGCAGUGAAAUCUCUGGGCUCAACUCAGAGUCUGCUGUGGAAACUGCCGUGCUCGAGUGUGGGAGAGGUGAGUGGAAUUCCCGGCGUAGCGGUGAAAUGCGUAGAUAUCGGGAGGAACACCUGUGGCGAAAGCGGCUCACUGGACCACAACUGACGCUGAGGCGCGAAAGCUAGGGGAGCAAACAGG